CCUACGGGGGGCUGCAGUGGGGAAUAUUGGACAAUGGGGGCAACCCUGAUCCAGCCAUGCCGCGUGUGUGAAGAAGGCCCUCGGGUUGUAAAGCACUUUCAGUGAGGAAGAACGCCUGGUGGUUAAUACCCAUCAGGAAAGACAUCACUCACAGAAGAAGCACCGGCUAACUCCGUGCCAGCAGCCGCGGUAAUACGGAGGGUGCGAGCGUUAAUCGGAAUUACUGGGCGUAAAGCGCGCGUAGGUGGCUUGAUAAGCCGGUUGUGAAAGCCCCGGGCUCAACCUGGGAACGGCAUCCGGAACUGUCAAGCUAGAGUGCAGGAGAGGAAGGUAGAAUUCCCGGUGUAGCGGUGAAAUGCGUAGAGAUCGGGAGGAAUACCAGUGGCGAAGGCCGCCUUCUGGACUGACACUGACACUGAGGUGCGAAAGCGUGGGUAGCAAACAGGAUUAGAUACCCUUGUAGUC
This 465-nucleotide ribosomal RNA is filed under the name Vreelandella stevensii. RNAcentral's name for it is "partial 16S ribosomal RNA". It matches the Rfam family "Bacterial small subunit ribosomal RNA", at positions 338 to 795 of the family's 1533-position model. Lineage: Bacteria; Pseudomonadati; Pseudomonadota; Gammaproteobacteria; Oceanospirillales; Halomonadaceae. The record is from RNAcentral.